UUUUUUUUUUCUUCAUAGGAUUUUGGGAAGACUGAGGCAAUCAUUGCUAAAAGUUAGUGUUAUAUUGGUGAACUGGAUUUUUUUUUCGUAAGAGAGGAAAAGGCUCGUACUCUUGAUUGCUGUUGGAAUGGGAGAUACUUCUGUGGUUGAAAUUCAGAGUUAUCUAGAAGGUUGAGUAUGCUGAAUGCAUGCGUGGUUGUGUUAAUCUGACUGUACGGAUAGAGGAUAUCUGCCAACAGUUUAAAGAGGUUUUGGGAAUUGGCAAAUUGGGGUUUGUUUAGGGUUUUUGUGAUAACUGGGACCUACCGACAGGGAUAAGAGGAAUAUCGGUGAGUGGCCAAAGAACAUUGGUGCGGAUUGCAGUAUAGCCUCACAAUCUGUAAGCGGGGUUAAACUGGAA
RNAcentral lists this long non-coding RNA (400 nucleotides) under Physcomitrium patens. RNAcentral's name for it is "long non-coding RNA (PPAT_LNC013252)". The record is from RNAcentral. Lineage: Eukaryota; Viridiplantae; Streptophyta; Bryopsida; Funariales; Funariaceae.